UACGGUGGGGGUAAGCGUUGUUCGGAAUUACUGGGCGUAAAGGGCUCGUAGGCGGCCAACUAAGUCAUACGUGAAAUCCCUCAGCUUAACUGGGGAACUGCGUGUGAUACUGGAUGGCUUGGAUUUGGGAGAGGGAUGCGGAAUUCCAGGUGUAGCGGUGAAAUGCGUAGAUAUCUGGAGGAACACCGGUGGCGAAGGCGGCAUCCUGGACCGAUACUGACGCUGAGGAGCGAAAGCCAGGGGAGCAAACGGG
RNAcentral lists this ribosomal RNA (253 nucleotides) under uncultured bacterium. RNAcentral describes it as "partial 16S ribosomal RNA". It matches the Rfam family "Bacterial small subunit ribosomal RNA", at positions 524 to 776 of the family's 1533-position model. The record is from RNAcentral.